Molecule: ribosomal RNA, 496 nt
Filed under: uncultured Chloroflexota bacterium
Lineage: Bacteria; Bacillati; Chloroflexota
Description: bacterial SSU rRNA
Rfam family: Bacterial small subunit ribosomal RNA
Source: RNAcentral
UGCGCCUUGCCAGCCCGCUCAGAAACUCAAAGGAAUUGACGGGGGCCCGCACAAGCAGCGGAGCGUGUGGUUUAAUUCGAUGAUACGCGAAGAGCCUCACCCAGGUUUGACAUGCAUGUGGUACUGAUGUGAAAGCUGAGGGACCCUUCGGGGAGCAUGCACAGGUGUUGCACGGCCGUCGUCAGCUCGUGCCGUGAGGUGUUGGGUUAAGUCCCGCAACGAGCGCAACCCCUGUCGCCAGUUGUAUUUUUCUGGCGAGACUGCCGAGAAAACCUCGGAGGAAGGAGGGGACGAUGUCAGGUCAGCGUGGCCCUUACGCCUGGGGCUACACACACGCUACAAUGGGCAGUACAACGGGUCGCCAAGCCGCGAGGUGGAGCUAAUCCCAUCAAAACUGUCCUCAGUUCGGAUUGCAGGCUGAAACCCGCCUGCAUGAAGCCGGAGUUGCUAGUAACCGCAGGUCAGCAUUACUGCGGUGAAUACGUUCCCGGGCCUU